AGCAGCCGCGGUAAUUCCAGCUCCAAUAGCGUAUAUUAAAGUUGUUGCAGUUAAAAAGCUCGUAGUUGAACUUCGGGGUUUACCCAUUGGUCAGGCUUAAUUGUCUGUACUGGUGAGAUAAAUCUCUACCUUCUGAGGAACUUUCAUGCCAUUUAUUUGGUGUGAUUGGAAAUCAGGACUAUUACUUUGAAAAAUUAGAGUGUUUAAAGCAGGCUAAAGUCUGAAUACAUUAGCAUGGAAUAAUGAAAUAGGACGGAUUGAUUCUAUUUCGUUGGUUUCUAGGAUCACCGUAAUGAUUAAUAGGGAUAGUUGGGGGCAUUAGUAUUCAAUUGUCAGAGGUGAAAUUCUUGGAUUUAUUGAAGACUAACUACU
This 372-nucleotide small RNA is filed under the name uncultured Diversispora. RNAcentral's name for it is "SSU rRNA". It matches the Rfam family "Eukaryotic small subunit ribosomal RNA", at positions 569 to 944 of the family's 1831-position model. Lineage: Eukaryota; Fungi; Glomeromycota; Glomeromycetes; Diversisporales; Diversisporaceae. The record is from RNAcentral.